Molecule: ribosomal RNA, 253 nt
Filed under: uncultured bacterium
Lineage: Bacteria
Description: partial 16S ribosomal RNA
Rfam family: Bacterial small subunit ribosomal RNA
Source: RNAcentral
UACGUAGGGUGCAAGCGUUGUCCGGAAUUAUUGGGCGUAAAGAGCGCGUAGGCGGCCGAGUAAGUCCGACGUGAAAUCUGGAGGCUCAACCUCCAGCGGUCGUUGGAAACUACUCGGCUAGAGUCCGGAAGAGGAGAGUGGAAUUCCUGGUGUAGCGGUGAAAUGCGCAGAUAUCAGGAAGAACACCGAUGGCGAAGGCAGCUCUCUGGGACGGUACUGACGCUGAGGCGCGAAAGCGUGGGGAGCGAACAGG